GCGUAGCUCGAUGGUAAGGGUGCUUGUUUUGCAUGCAGAAGGUCCCAGGUUCAGUCCUUGGUAUCUGCA
RNAcentral lists this transfer RNA (69 nucleotides) under Sphaerodactylus townsendi. Its description in RNAcentral is "tRNA-Ala". The record is from RNAcentral. Lineage: Eukaryota; Metazoa; Chordata; Lepidosauria; Squamata; Sphaerodactylidae.